RNAcentral lists this ribosomal RNA (492 nucleotides) under uncultured bacterium. RNAcentral's name for it is "partial 16S ribosomal RNA". It matches the Rfam family "Bacterial small subunit ribosomal RNA", at positions 29 to 507 of the family's 1533-position model. The record is from RNAcentral.
AGUGAACGCUGGCGGUAGGCCUAACACAUGCAAGUCGAACGGCAGCACAGUAAGAGCUUGCUCUUACGGGUGGCGAGUGGCGGACGGGUGAGGAAUACAUCGGAAUCUACUUUUUCGUGGGGGAUAACGUAGGGAAACUUACGCUAAUACCGCAUACGACCUACGGGUGAAAGCAGGGGAUCUUCGGACCUUGCGCGAUUGAAUGAGCCGAUGUAGGAUUAGCUAGUUGGGGGGGUAAAGGCCCACCAAGGCGACGAUCCGUAGCUGGUCUGAGAGGAUGAUCAGCCACACUGGAACUGAGACACGGUCCAGACUCCUACGGGAGGCAGCAGUGGGGAAUUUUGGACAAUGGGCGCAAGCCUGAUCCAGCCAUACCGCGUGGGUGAAGAAGGCCUUCGGGUUGUAAAGUCCUUUUGUUGGGAAAGAAAAGCAGCAGGUUAAUACCCCGCUGUUCUGACGGUACCCAAAGAAUAAGCACCGGCUAACUUCGUG